This 73-nucleotide transfer RNA is filed under the name Marmota monax (woodchuck). It matches the Rfam family "tRNA". From Rfam's summary of the family: Transfer RNA (tRNA) molecules are approximately 80 nucleotides in length. The record is from Rfam by way of RNAcentral. Lineage: Eukaryota; Metazoa; Chordata; Mammalia; Rodentia; Sciuridae.
GGGGGUAUAGGUCAUUUGGUAGAGUGUUUGUCUAGCAUACAUAAAGCCCUGGGAUCAAUCCCCAGCACCACCA